Molecule: long non-coding RNA, 838 nt
Filed under: Mus musculus (house mouse)
Lineage: Eukaryota; Metazoa; Chordata; Mammalia; Rodentia; Muridae
Description: predicted gene, 34093 (Gm34093)
Source: RNAcentral
GAAAUAUGAACCCUCUUACGGGGAAGACUGGGGCAGAAGGAAAAGGGCCACUGAAUCUCUUGUUGGAAUCUGUGGUGGUUUGAAUAUACCUGGCCCAUGGAAAGUGGCACUAUUAGAAAGUAUGGCCUUGUUGGAAUAUGUUUGGCCUUGUUGGAGGAAUGUGUCACUGUGUAGGUGGACUUCAAGGACUCCCACUGCUAAAGCUCCACCCAGUGCAGAAAAUCAAGUCUCCUCCUGGCUGCCUUCAGAUCAAGUUGUAGAACUCUCAGCUCCUCCAGCACCAUGUCUGCCUGCAGGCUGCCAUGUUUCCUGCCCUGGUGAUAAUGGACUGAACCUCUGAAACUCCUUCUGAUCUGGAUGUAGAACGCUUGGAUCCUUCUCCAGCACCAUGUCUGCCAGCAUGCCACCAUGCUUGCUGCCAUGAUGACAAUGAACUAAACCUCUGAACCUGUAUCCUCCGAGGUCUCUGAGUCUGUUCUACCCUGGAGCUGACCUCUCUGCGUCUCCUCAGCAGUGACCUGGGGAAGCAGCACAGUUUCUCUUGGUUGCCCAAACCCAGCUUUCACCUGCCUUUCCUGCAAGGCCUUUAACUGUGCCUCCCGUAUCCUCAUCUUCUUUCGAGAUCAGAGAUUAUUUGGCUUGGCUGUGGUUCCGGCUCAACUGUUUCUUGGCAUACUCCACUCAUGGGUCUGUUUCCUUGUGUGGGUUUUAACCAUCUCUGUGGGGGGUGCAUUGUUAACACUGUUAAAAUGUCUGAAGCUGACUGGCUGAUCUCACCACUGCAAACUAUUACCUGUUGAUAACCACUAGUCCCCUCCCAAUAAAAACUGUAACACGA